RNAcentral lists this ribosomal RNA (253 nucleotides) under uncultured bacterium. RNAcentral's name for it is "partial 16S ribosomal RNA". It matches the Rfam family "Bacterial small subunit ribosomal RNA", at positions 524 to 776 of the family's 1533-position model. The record is from RNAcentral.
UACGUAGGCAGCAAGCGUUGUUCGGAAUUACUGGGCGUAAAGAGUGUGUAGGCGGUGCUCUAAGUCUGUCGUGAAAUCUCCCGGCUUAACUGGGAGGGUGCGGCGGAAACUAGAAUGCUAGAGGGUGGGAGAGGUAAGCGGAAUUCCUGGUGUAGCGGUGAAAUGCGUAGAUAUCAGGAGGAACACCUGUGGUGUAGACAGCUUACUGGACCACUUCUGACGCUGAGACACGAAAGCGUGGGUAGCAAACAGG